RNAcentral lists this long non-coding RNA (293 nucleotides) under Olea europaea (common olive). RNAcentral describes it as "long non-coding RNA (OEUR_LNC001133)". Lineage: Eukaryota; Viridiplantae; Streptophyta; Magnoliopsida; Lamiales; Oleaceae. The record is from RNAcentral.
CACGCCCAGUGGGACAGUGGUGUUAGGUGUUGAAAGUGCAAAAGGAGAAACAGUAUGCCUCAAAAAUCCGACAAGGAAGGAGCAAGUCAGGGAGGAAUCCAGUCUGUAAUCGAGCGAUAUGAGGAGCAACAUGCCUCUCCACGAACAGAUGGACAAAAUCAGAGCAGUAACAGUCGUUACGAACCAAUGACGGAGCUGAGUCCUCGAACCAUGCGUGCAUUGCUUGGAGAACUCACGCAAGACGUCGUUGAACAGGUAAAUCUUCGAAAUAUUCAUAACAUGGAAAGAUUUAC